RNAcentral lists this long non-coding RNA (768 nucleotides) under Pan troglodytes (chimpanzee). RNAcentral's name for it is "long non-coding RNA NONPTRT000446". The record is from RNAcentral. Lineage: Eukaryota; Metazoa; Chordata; Mammalia; Primates; Hominidae.
CUUGUGUGUGGCAUAGAAAGGGAUUCUGGAAUUCAUCACCAAGUGCCCAGGCAGAACUGAUCAUCUAAGCUAGAAAGAACAAGGUAGGGGAACCUCCAGAUGUUGCCGAGGCCCACAGAGAAGCCAAUCUGGGCCAGGAUGUACUGCAGCUUACUGUUCCAGGCCGGCCGGUCCUCUGCGUCCAGCUCCUCCUCCACCGCCUUCUGCUUGCCGCCUGUCUCACCAGCCACAUUCAGUACACUCUGCUUAUAGUCCACAGGCUCCUCGAGGGCCAGCAGGUCGGCCACGGACUCAGUGACAUGCUCACUGCUGUGCUCACGCUGGGUCACUUUGCUGUUCUUCGGCAUUGAUGCCACCUGGGCCGUGUAGCCCUGCUCCCCAGCACACAGAGAAGAUGGAAUUCAGCUGCUGUCAGCUCCUUCUCAUCCAGGGACCUAGGAAACCAGGUGAGCAGUAAAGGAUUAUCUGACCACACCAGGAAGGUGAGGAGCCCAACGUGGACACAACCCAAAUUAACUCCCCAUCACACUGUGAGGCAGGUCAAGGGCCUCAUAUAUUCAGCUUGCCCUCCCUCCCCAUCAGGGGCUGCCCAGUGAGGAGCUCAAGGCCUACAGACUCAGUUUCUCCAGAGGCUUGACCCGAGCAUUAUUUGAAAAGUAAACCUAAAGGGGCAAAAUAGGCAAAGCCAUACUCCGAACCCAAGUAGAGCGUUAUCCGUGAAGACAUUUCUCUCUUCCAUACUGCAGAGCUUAGAGUGCUCAAGCCCCU